Molecule: RNA transcript, 1762 nt
Organism: Monomorium pharaonis (pharaoh ant)
Lineage: Eukaryota; Metazoa; Arthropoda; Insecta; Hymenoptera; Formicidae
Exons: 9
Source: RefSeq, a predicted model, not a curated record
AUAUAUAUACAUAAUUCUUAAAUUCGCGUAUCCGUGUGAAUGUGUGAGUGCAUGUUGAUGUCAAUGCGCAGGUGUCCGUACCUCCCCCGCGAACGUUCUCUGCCUCGUGCACAACAGACCUGGGGCUUGAUUCUUGAAUUCAUUCGCAAGAGAAACGCUUACAGUAUCAUAGAAUUUAGUGAUGGCCUGGCAAUAGUGCCGUCACAUUGGUUGAACAAUGAUGAAACAAAAUGCACUUAUCCUAAUUUUCGGGAUCCAGCAAAAAUAAAAAAGGCUGUUGCGUCACAACAGCUUCCUGAGGAUAACCCGAACUGGAAAAUGUACGAUGUUUUAAGGAUCUUCUAUAAAACAAAUUCAUACCAAAGAGCAAAAGACAAGUUACUUAUUGCUGAGAAAAUGUCAGAUUUAGCAACUAACGAAAGUUCAGAAGAUGAGACCAAAAGAUGCGACAAAGAAAAAAAAUCGAGACACAUGCGAGCUAAAAAAAAUAAUUCUUCGUCGGAAGAGUGUGAUGGAUUCGAUUCUGAUACAAGUCAGGAAUUAACAAAAUUAUCAUCCUUUCCGAAAGUUCCUGACAAAUUAAAUAUUACAAAGAAAAAGAUUCCUGCAAGUCAGAAAAUAGUUCCACCGCCAUUAUCAUCUAACGUAGAACGAUCAAAAUCUGAAUGCCAGAAGAGUCAUGCUAUACAUACCAAAAGUUUACAUCAAGAAGAGACAAUAAAUAAAUACACAAAAGGGAAAUAUGUUGACAAUUCAUCAGAUGAAAAUAACAACUUGCAAAAUUUAAAGACUGCAAAGCAAAUGUCUACUAAAAGCAAGAAUUUAAUAACUGAAAAAAAUGAAUUUCAAAUAGAAGUAAUAAGAAAAUUACAGUUAAUACUUAACAGAAUCACUGCUCUUGAAAAUCGGAUGGUUUUAUUGCAAGCAUCAAACAUUGUGCCGCAGGAAGCAGCCAAUGUUAUAGAGUAUGAGGAGUAUGAUCUACCGUUGAAAAAUAUGCAAACAUUAAUCCGAUUAGAAAACCAAUUAAAAGAUAGCUCAUUCGCAGACAAAAUGGUGAACACGCUAAAACAAGUGGGUGGAGUGAAUUUGUCCAACAUAAUCUCAAAUAUUUUAAAAAAGUUAUUGAGCGACGAUCUUGCACAGAGUUUCAGUUAUUUGGGACAACGAAACAAAAGAAAUUUUAGUGCUCUAAAACUAUGCUCAAUCAUGAAAAAUAAAAAUGUACGCUUAUAUAAAAUUGUUAUCUGGGAAAAAUAAAGACAAAAAAAAAAUUAUUCCCACAUCUUGCAUCAAGAAUUUUAAACCAGAGUCACACAAGAAAAUUUUAAAGUAUCAAGUGGAAGAAACAGUAGGCGAAGAACCGUAUGUAGCAACGAUUUUGUUACUAUCAGAUUCAAAUGAAGAACUUAAAGAAAUAAUUAGAACAAAAAGUGUUCGUGCUUCACCAUCGUAUUUGCUUGUGACAGCUUCGGAUAAAUCUGACAACGAGGGAAAAAAAACAGUUUAAAGCGUUCAAAAACUUUUCAAAUGAAUCGUCAGUUAAAAGAACAAGAGGAACUAGUCUGUAAUAAAUUAUCAAAGUUUAAGAGUGAUUUAUUGCCAAUAAACGUUACAUUAAAAGAUAAGGAAAAUUUAGAUUUGUCAAACAUUACUGAUACACCGCCAUCACCCAAAAAAUAUAGAGUAACAGAAGAUUUAGCACAAACAAAAAAUAAAUUCAUGCAAGAUGACAAUCUAGUCAAAGCACUAACCAAAGAAA